UAUUUUCCUCCUCCAAGAAAGGAAACCUGUGGCCUGUGUAUGUUGCAAUCAAUGAAUUGCCAGUUCAGCUAAGGUUUACAAAGAAGUACAUUCUUCCAUGUUAUCUUCACUGCCAGAUAGAAAAGCCAAACAUGCUCACCUAUUUAUCCAACCUGAUGAAAACAAUUGCAGUAUUGAGCAGUGAAGGAAUGGAAGUGAUAACUUGCUUUGGAAAGAGGACAGUGAAGUGUCAACUUCUUGCAUCAUGUCUAGAUUUACCAGCAAAGGCUCUAGUAGCUAACAUGAAACAGUUCAAUGGUAAAUUUGGUUGUGUUAGCUGUUUUGAUGAAGGACAUUCAAA
Long non-coding RNA from Mizuhopecten yessoensis (Yesso scallop), 340 nucleotides. RefSeq lists it as uncharacterized. The record is from RefSeq and is a predicted model, not a curated record. The transcript is spliced from 3 exons. NCBI's taxonomy places the organism in Eukaryota, Metazoa, Mollusca, Bivalvia, Pectinida, Pectinidae.